This is a long non-coding RNA of Marmota flaviventris (yellow-bellied marmot), 1042 nucleotides long. RefSeq lists it as uncharacterized. Lineage: Eukaryota; Metazoa; Chordata; Mammalia; Rodentia; Sciuridae. The record is from RefSeq and is a predicted model, not a curated record.
GCAGUGCUGAUAAGACAUGCAAAGCACCAGGGCUGGGCCGCCCUCGUGCCCCAGCGGCGCCAGGCAUUGUGGGACUUCACUGUGGCCUCCUGGCUCCUGGACAGCCUCCCUGCAGCUGGGGGCCUCAUUCCCAGGAGCGUUCCCAGCCCAGCAAUGUCAGCAGGGGCUCAGUAAAUGCAGUUCUUAUCACGAGUGAAGUCCCCGUGGAGUGCAGGGGUGGCCUGAGGGACUGCAGCGGAGGACGACGAGGAGCUGGAUGGCCAAGGGCGAGUGUGACUGGACCAGGCGCAGGAAGGAACAGGUGAAAGCAACGCUAAGCCACCUCUGAGAGGCUCCUCUACCCCCACCGGCCUCACUACACCAAUCUGGUUUCCUGUGCUGCUUGUGGAGGCUGCCACACUAGCCAGCUUUGUUAUUCUGGGGGAGUGGAGAAGGACCUCAAAAGAAAACCAAGCCCCCCUUGGUCCAGCUGGCGCCAGCCCCUGACAGGCAGAAGGAAGCCCAGGAUGAAGUCUUAUGCAUCUCACUUGCUGUGUGACCUUGGGCUCCUCACUUUCCCUCUCUGAGCUUCAGUUACCUAUCUGUGAAAGGAGGGGGUUGGACUGUUAAUGAGUAAAGGCCUCUGUCAGAUUCAUCUGUUAUGGAUUGAGGUGUGUCUUCCAGAACCAUAUGAUAUGUUGAAGUCCUCACACUGAGUACCACAGAACGUGACGAUUUGGACACGCGGUUGCUGCGGAUGUCACCAGUUCAGAUGAGGACAGACUAAUGGGGGGGGCAGAGGGGGCCUGGAUCCAAUAUGGCUGGAUACCCAUGAAGGCCCGGGCUGACGGCCACCAGCAGCAGCUGGGGAGGGGUGAGGAAGGACUGGACUUGGCUGUCAGGGGGACACAGCUCCAGGUACCCUGGUCAGUCUGCUGGCCUUCGGAGCUGGAGACAAACAGCCCGCUGGGCUACGGCACUCAGUUUGUGAUACUUUGUCACAGAAGUUCUAAGAAACAAAGAGAACAUUGGAAUUAAAUCACACUGGAUUUUUGCUUGUUUA